GAAAUGCGAUAAGUAAUGUGAAUUGCAGAAUUCAGUGAAUCAUCGAAUCUUUGAACGCACCUUGCACUCUCUGGUAUUCCGGAGAGUACGCCUGUUUGAGUGUCAUGAAACUCUCAUUCCCUACCUUUUCUUAAUUGAGAAGGAAGGGACGUGGACUUGGACUCUGCUGGUCUCCUUUAUUGGAAUCGGCUUGUCUGAAAUGUAUUAGCUGGAUCCUCUUUGUAAUUGGUUCUACUCGACGUGAUAAGUAUUUCGUCGAGGACAGUCUUAACGGACUGGCCGAGAGAAGAAGAGUCUUUUAGAUCCGCUUCUAAUCCGUGCGAGCUUGCUCCACACUUUUUAUGAUCUGGCCUCAAAUCAGGUGGGACUACCCGCUGAACUUAA
This 384-nucleotide unclassified non-coding RNA is filed under the name uncultured Udeniomyces. RNAcentral describes it as "sequence contains ITS1". The stretch from base 1 to 105 matches the Rfam family "5.8S ribosomal RNA", at positions 50 to 154 of the family's 154-position model. Lineage: Eukaryota; Fungi; Basidiomycota; Tremellomycetes; Cystofilobasidiales. The record is from RNAcentral.